GUGACUAAGAUGUACAGAAAUGUGCUGAUAUC
RNAcentral lists this non-coding RNA (32 nucleotides) under Rattus norvegicus (Norway rat). The record is from RNAcentral. Lineage: Eukaryota; Metazoa; Chordata; Mammalia; Rodentia; Muridae.